GACGAACGCUGGCGGCGUGGAUUAGGCAUGCAAGUCGAACGGUAUCAUCCUUUCGGGGGUGAGAGAGUGGCGAACUGGUGAGUAACACGUAGGUUAUCUACCCUCAAGACGGGGACAACCCAGGGAAACUUGGGCUAAUACCGGAUGUGAGCAACUUUUAGUUGUUUGAAAGGUGGCGUAAGCUGUCGCUUGGGGAUGAGCCUGCGUCCUAUUAGUUAGUUGGUGAGGUAACGGCUCACCUAGGCAAUGAUAGGUAGGCGGCCUUAACGGGUGGUCGCCCACACUGGGAUUGAGAUACGGCCCAGACUCCUACGGGAGCAGCAGUCGAGAAUAGUCUACAAUGGUCGGAAGACUGAUAGUGCGACGCCGCGUGAACGAUGAAUCCCUUCGGGGUGUAAAGUUCUUUUAUAUGUGAGCAGUGCUUCUUAUAUUAACAGUAUGGGGAGAGAGAUAUUAGCAUAUGAAUAAGCAACGGCUAAACUCCGUGCCAGCAGCCGCGGUAAU
Molecule: ribosomal RNA, 504 nt
Filed under: uncultured bacterium
Lineage: Bacteria
Description: bacterial SSU rRNA
Rfam family: Bacterial small subunit ribosomal RNA
Source: RNAcentral